This 492-nucleotide ribosomal RNA is filed under the name uncultured bacterium. RNAcentral's name for it is "partial 16S ribosomal RNA". It matches the Rfam family "Bacterial small subunit ribosomal RNA", at positions 29 to 507 of the family's 1533-position model. The record is from RNAcentral.
AGUGAACGCUGGCGGUAGGCCUAACACAUGCAAGUCGAACGGCAGCACAGUAAGAGCUUGCUCUUACGGGUGGCGAGUGGCGGACGGGUGAGGAAUACAUCGGAAUCUACUUUUUCGUGGGGGAUAACGUAGGGAAACUUACGCUAAUACCGCAUACGACCUACGGGUGAAAGCAGGGGAUCUUCGGACCUUGCGCGAUUGAAUGAGCCGAUGUCGGAUUAGCUAGUUGGCGGGGUAAAGGCCCACCAAGGCGACGAUCCGUAUCUGGUCUGAGAGGAUGGUCGGCCGCAUUGGAACUUAGACACGGUCCAGACUCCUACGGGAGGCAGCAGUGGGGAAUAUUGGACAAUGGGCGCAAGCCUGAUCCAGCCAUACCGCGUGGGUUAAGAAGGCCUUCGGGUUGUAAAGCCCUUUUGUUGGGAAAGAAAAGCAGCAGGUUAAUACCCCGCUGUUCUGACGGUACCCAAAGAAUAAGCACCGGCUAACUUCGUG